CUAAUUUACAGCUAAACCAGUCUCGUCGUAUUGUCGAAAAUAGGUAAUAACGGAAAAUUUAAUUUGGCAAUGGCAUGCAGUCUAUUUAUGAAUGACAGCGUUAGAAGGACCUAUUUUUAACUAGUAAAAGUCAAAUUUGGUUUUUGGCGUAGGUAAGUCAUAAGCAGAUAAUGCAAUGGAAAAUCUAGCCUUGACGUCAAAGCGUCCAACUAUUGCAACUGUUAACGUCACACCAGCUAUGUCAAACAAACUUGACAAGUUCCCGUAAUUAUCGGCUUUAGGAACUGUCGCCAAGACGACCAAAUUAUUAAGAGCACACCUAAGUUCAACGACAAUAAAAGUGAUAGUAGAAGGCGACGUUCUGUCUAUCCAGCAACAGUAGAAAAUGAUGUCAACGCCGAACGCUAAAAACCAAUUUGGAGAUUGCUUGUGCUCACUGCAUUAGCAUUAGACUAUCACGCAAACAUAUUGUGCCUUUGCUGAGAUUUUAAUAAAAAUGUAGUGUGUGUGAUCUGACCAUGAUUGUUGUAAUUUGGCUACAUGGGCUGAGCGAACAAAAGCUAGAUUAAAUUUACAUCAAUAGAAGAAAGAAAUGGCUUUAACCCCCCUUCUGUUCGCAGUUUGUGAGAUAAACAAUGAAACUGCACAGUAUGGACACAGAUUACUUAAACGUCCUUGAAUCCGUGAUUAUGUCGAUGAUGAAUACGUCAUAUUUUUACAUUUGUGUUAAAGUCCAGCUUUAAAUUUGCAUUAAUUAUUGUAGUUGUUAGUAAUAACAGGAAGUGGAAGGUUCGCCUUUGUACCUUGUAACAUAAAUAUAGGUGCUAGAUUACCAUAUAUAUGUUAAUGUAGGUAAUGAAACAGUUGACAGUUCAUUGUAAUUGGAAAAAUCCAUCUGAUUCUUGUAAAUUUAUUCUGGUGGGUGUUUACUUAUAAAUUAUAAUUACAUAUAAUUUUUGUCGUGAUGUGAGUAGGUAUGGAUAAUUGUAUAACUAGAGAACUAUCAGAUAUUACGUUUGCUGAAAUUUGUUGUUUCAUUAUCUAUUAUCACGCCAGUUAUAUAAAAUCACGAUAGUUGCACUAGCUUUAAAUCAAUAACCCUAUCUUCCGCCCCUAACACAAUAACCAGCUCUACAAAGUAGGUAAACAUGAGCAAAAAAA
Molecule: long non-coding RNA, 1161 nt
Organism: Photinus pyralis (common eastern firefly)
Lineage: Eukaryota; Metazoa; Arthropoda; Insecta; Coleoptera; Lampyridae
Exons: 3
Source: RefSeq, a predicted model, not a curated record